RNAcentral lists this ribosomal RNA (232 nucleotides) under uncultured bacterium. RNAcentral describes it as "partial 16S ribosomal RNA". It matches the Rfam family "Bacterial small subunit ribosomal RNA", at positions 977 to 1205 of the family's 1533-position model. The record is from RNAcentral.
UGGGCUUCGAAAUGUAGUGGAAUGAGGUAGAAAUAUCUCCGUCUCGCAAGAGACUGCUAUAUAGGUGCUGCAUGGCUGUCGUCAGCUCGUGUCGUGAGAUGUUGGGUUAAUCCCGNAACGAGCGCAACCCUUAUCUUUAGUUGCCAUCAGGUCAAGCUGGGACACUCUAACGAAACCGCCUCGGAUAACGGGGAGGAAGGUGGGGAUGACGUCAAGUCCUCAUGGACUUUAU